RNAcentral lists this long non-coding RNA (2440 nucleotides) under Sus scrofa (pig). Its description in RNAcentral is "lncRNA (ENSSSCG00040068806.1)". Lineage: Eukaryota; Metazoa; Chordata; Mammalia; Artiodactyla; Suidae. The record is from RNAcentral.
CCCAUAAUAAAGUUAUUUUUAUUUGGAUGUCCUUUUCCAUGACUUUGUAAUAUUAAUUAUAGUCAUCAUCAGCCCUAAAUAAAUAGUAAACUUGAAGAGCAUAUGGAUGUUUCAAAAGUAAAAGCUAUAGUGUAUGAGUGACAAACUAUGAGGACAGCAUUAUAAUAAACAAUGCAGUCAGUGGCCUAUGCCAACCAUGACAGAGUUCAAUCCCUUGGGUCUAUCAGUCAAACCUCCUGAAGAGAAUUUAAGUCUGGAGAUGUCAUCAGGAUGUCCUGGUCCAUUUGGGCUGCUAUAACAGAAUACCAUAGAUUAGUUGGCUUAUAAAAAACAGAAAUGUAUUUCUCACUGCUUGGAAGACUGGGAAGUCCAAGAUCAAGGUGCCAGUAGAUUUGGUGCCUGGUGAUGGCCUGAAACUUUGUUCAUAAAUGGGUAUCUUUUGACUGUGUCCUCACUUGGCAGAACUGGGCUAGCUAAGCUUCAAGGGUCUUUUCUAUAAGGGUACUAAUCUCAUUCAGGAGGGCUCUGUUCUCAUGACUACCUUCCAAAGGCCCUGUCUGCUAAUACUAUCACCUUGAGGACUAGGAUAUGAUCAUAUGCAUUUCGGGGGACACAAAUAUUCAGAACACAACAUGCAGUAAUUUAAAGAGAAGCAAAAUCCUGGCGUCAAGGUUACCUGGUGAAUUGUUUCCAAGUCCUACUAAAUCACAGCUGUAGGAUGGGAGUUCAACUUGGGCCUGGGUAAGCAUCAAACUAAUUGCAGAAACUUAGACUGGCACAAAUUUGGGGGUGCUCUUUGAAAAGUGAAUACUGUUAUCAGGUAAUUCACUUGCACGGCAUGUUACAGGUUCUGAAAAACCAAUCAAUGAUCAGCUUAAUUUUGUUCAAUCUAGUAUUUGAUUAUUUUUUUACAUGCUGCACCCAUGGCAAAUAUAAGUUCCCAGGCUAGGGGUCAAAUUGGAGCUGCAGUUACCAGCCUACACCACAACCACAGCAACACCAGAUCCAAGCCAUAUCUGCAACCUACACCACAGCUCACCUCAAUGCUGGAUCCCUGACCCACUGAGUGAGGCCAGAGAUUGAACCCACAUCCUCAGGGAUACUAAUCAGAUUAGUUUCAACUGUGCCACAACAGGAACUCCUGAUAAGAGCAUCUUUUUUUUCAAGAAAUACUAACAACUCACAUAAAUCAAUAUUCUAGGGCAUUUUAUUUAGCAAUUACUAUUUUUAGAAAUUUGGGGAUAAUUUGGUAACAUAUAUAAGAAAAUAUAAUCUUUGGAGUUCUGGCUAUGGCUCAGCAUUGCUGUGGCUGUGGCUGGCAGCUGAAGCUCCGAUUUGAGACCUAGCCUGUGAACCCCCCAUAUGCUGCAAGUGUGGCCCUAAAUUUUAUAUACACACACACACACACAAAAUCUUAAAAUGGACACAGGUCAACUUGAUCUUUCUCAAUAAUUUCUAGACACAUUUUUAUAUUGUUGUCCCUAAUGGUAAAAUGGAUAACCUGAACACUUUUAAUCUAAUGUGGUAUCUAAUUGGCUUAUUCUGCUAGGAGACACAGAUGAAAUAAUACUACUUUUAAAACUACAGGAGUUUCCUGAUGGCUCAAUGGGUUAAGGAUGCUGAUGCAGUUGACACUACAGUGGCUGAGGUCGAUGCUGUGGUAGUUUGUUCCCUGGCCCAGGAACUUCUGAAUGCUGCAGGGCAUGGCCAAAAAAAAAGUAGAAAUGAAUACAAUUUAAAAAGUAAAAGAGUUUCCCUUGUGGCUCAGUGGAUUACGAACCUGACUAGUAUCCAUAAUGAUGUGGGUUUGAUUCCGGGCCUCGCUCAGUGGGUUAAAAGAUCUAGCAUUGCUGUAAGGUGCGGUGUAGGUUGCAGAUGCAGUUUGGAUCUGGCGUGGCUAUGGUAGAGGCCGGCAGCUGCAGCUCCAAUUUGACUCCUAGCCUGAGAACUUCCAAUAUGCUGCAAGUGCAGCCCUAAAAAGUGGGGGGGGGGGGGGGUUGAAAAAUUUUUCCUCUCCAAUUUCCCGUUAAAAUCAGAAGAUACUUGGAGUUCCCGUUAUGGCUCAGGGGGUAAAGGAUCCCAUGUCAUCUAUAUCCCUGGCCUUGCUCAGUGGGUUAAGGACCCAGUGUUGAUGCAAGAUGCAGUGUAUGUCACAGAUGCAGCUCAGAUCUGGUGUUGCUGUGACUGCGGUGUUGGCUGCAGCUUCAGCUCCAAUUUGACCCCGUGGCCCGGGAACUUCUAUAUGCUGCAGGUGUGGCAGAUUAAAAAAAAGGGGGGGGGAUUACAAAAAAAAGAAGAUACUUUUAAUUUUGAAAAGCCUGCUACAAGUUCCUGUCAUGGCACAGUGGAAACAAACCCGACUAGGAACCAUAAGGUUGCAGGUUCGAUCCCUGACCUUGCUCAUGGGUUAAGGAUCUGGUGUUGCAAGGUGCAGCAUAGG